UAGAGUAUGAUAGAGGAAAGCAGAAUUUCUAGUGUAGAGGUGAAAUUCGUAGAUAUUAGAAAGAAUACCAAUUGCGAAGGCAGCUUUCUGGAUCAUUACUGACACUGAGGAACGAAAGCAUGGGUAGCGAAGAGGAUUAGAUACCCUCGUAGUCCAUGCCGUAAACGAUGUGUGUUAGACGUUGGAAAUUUAUUUUCAGUGUCGCAGCGAAAGCGAUAAACACACCGCCUGGGGAGUACGACCGCAAGGUUAAAACUCAAAUGAAUUGACGGGGACCCGCACAAGUAGUGGAGCAUGUGGUUUAAUUCG
This 309-nucleotide ribosomal RNA is filed under the name uncultured bacterium. RNAcentral's name for it is "bacterial SSU rRNA". It matches the Rfam family "Bacterial small subunit ribosomal RNA", at positions 642 to 953 of the family's 1533-position model. The record is from RNAcentral.